GAAGCAGAUCGAGAGCUAACGAUA
Molecule: non-coding RNA, 24 nt
Filed under: Arabidopsis thaliana (thale cress)
Lineage: Eukaryota; Viridiplantae; Streptophyta; Magnoliopsida; Brassicales; Brassicaceae
Source: RNAcentral